AGCGAACGUUAGCGGCGGGCCUAACACAUGCAAGUCGAGCGAGAAAGGGGGUUCGCCCCCGAGUACAGCGGCGGACGGGUGAGUAACACGUAGGUAAUUUUCCCUUGAGCGGGGGACAACGUUCCGAAAGGGACGCUAAUACCGCAUAAGUUUCCAGGCGUUCCGGCGCUUGGGAGGAAAGCUAGGCCGCAAGGUCUGGCACUCGAGGAGAAGCCUGCGUCGCAUCAGCUAGUUGGUGGGGUAAUGGCCUACCAAGGCUAAGACGCGUAGCUGGUCUGAGAGGAUGAUCAGCCACACUGGGACUGAGACACGGCCCAGACUCCUACGGGAGGCAGCAGUGGGGAAUAUUGGACAAUGGGCGCAAGCCUGAUCCAGCCACGCCGCGUGAGUGAUGAAGGCCUUCGGGUCGUAAAGCUCUGUGGGGAGAGACGAACCGCUGUGCGUUCAUAGCGCGCAGCAUGACGGUACCUCCUUAGCAAGCACCGGCUAACUUCGUG
This 497-nucleotide ribosomal RNA is filed under the name uncultured organism. RNAcentral describes it as "bacterial SSU rRNA". It matches the Rfam family "Bacterial small subunit ribosomal RNA", at positions 29 to 507 of the family's 1533-position model. The record is from RNAcentral.